CACACACACACACACACACACACACACACACUCUCUCUCUCUCUCUCUCUCUCUCUCUCUCUCUCUGUCUCUAUCUUGCCGCAAAAUCCAGUACCUCACUUGCUGAUUCCAACUACGAAGAUGAGGUGUAGACGCCGACGAGAUACACGACUAUGUCCGAAUAUCUCUAAUCCACGCGGAGUAAACUGAGUUGCCUUUCGACGAAUUCCAGAUACGGUCUCUGAUGACAAGCUCUGUCCGACGAGCUUGGGCAGGCCUUCAGAGUUACAAUGGGAAUCAAAGGUAUUGGAUUUAUCGCUAGUUGGCAGCUUCAAUGUGCGAUGUAAUCGUAAAAUGAGGAUAAUGGUUGAUUAGUAUGUACUUAUUUAUUGAUAUUUUUGUCUAAUUCACUUUAAAUUCAGUAACUUUAGGGGAUGUGGAUCCAUUAAUUGCAUUUUUCUUUUAUGGUUAUCAAUUGUGGUGUUCUAAUCCAAACUAUGUGUGUUUGUGAAUGUCAAUUGUUGGACGAAUUGCAAAGCAACCAGUGGACUGUGAGUAAUUGAAGAUCUUACUGUUAAUUCUAUUGGAAGUGGAAUAAUAAUAAUUGAUGAAUGAUGUAUAUAGAAGAUGUUAUUAUAGUGAUUCUUAAAUUUAUCUAUACCUUCUGUGACAUUUACCAUGAUGAUGUUGCUACAGAAUUGAAGAUUUUUUUUUUUGUUCUUGUUAAUGUGCUAGGCUGUAUCUCUAUGUUUCUUUGAGUUUUAGUAAACUUAAAAAGGCAAGCUAAGCAUAUUUGUUUAUCCUUGAUGUUUCUGUGCUAAUUUUGGCGUUUUUUUUUUGCUGUAAAAUGUUGUUUUGCUCUAUGUGCUUGUGUUAGUAUUGAUGCUUGUACAUUAGUUUAGCUCUUACUAGGGGCAAUAGACCUCGACAUAUCUCGUACUGCCCCUAGUAGACCCUCCUACUGGCCCCAAUAGACCCCCGGACAGUCUCCAUGCAUAUUGCCUCCAAAAGACCUCCUACUGCCCCUAAUAUAACCCCCAACAGACCCCCUACUGCCCCCAAUAUAACUCCCGAUAGACCCCCAACUGCUCCUAAUAGGAGGUCCUACUGACCCCAAUAGGUGGUCAUACUGCCCCCAGUAGACCUACCUACUACCCCCAGUAGACCCCAUGCAUAUUACCUCCAAAAGACCCCCUACUGCCCUCAAUAAACCUCCCGACAUAGCCCCUACUACCCCUACUACCCCUAAUAGAACCUCCCAACAGACCCCUUACUGCCUCUAAUAGAACCCCUACUGACCCCAAUAGGUGGUCCUACUGCCCCAAAUAUACCCCUCGACACAGCCCUUACUGCCCCUAAUAGACCUUUUGACAAACUCCCUAUUGCCCUAAAUAGACCCCUACUGCCCCCAACAGACAUCCUAUUGCCGGAAUCCGGUCAACAGCCUCUGGACAGACUUCAUAUUGCCCCUAAUAGACGCCCUAUUGCCCCCAAUAGACACCUUAUCCUCGGAAUCCGGUCAACGGCCCUCGGAGUCUGGUCAACGGUCCCCGGAGCCCGGUCAACAGUCGUUGGAGUUCGGUCAAUGGCCCCCGAAGCCCUGUCAACAUCAUUGGUCGUGGAAAUCCGGUUAUAAAAACUUUAUUUUAUAAUAGACUCUUAUAAUAGUUUAUUGUAGUUUAUUUAAUUCAUUAAGGGUAUAAUUGUAUUUUUGCUGUUUAAGUUGGUUUUUGAGAAUUUUAAAAUCUGAUUUUGUUAGUGGGAAUACAAUUCUUAAAAUUAGGGUUAGUGGGCAUUACAUAAGAUAAU
RNAcentral lists this long non-coding RNA (1788 nucleotides) under Fragaria vesca (wild strawberry). RNAcentral's name for it is "long non-coding RNA (FVES_LNC000583)". Lineage: Eukaryota; Viridiplantae; Streptophyta; Magnoliopsida; Rosales; Rosaceae. The record is from RNAcentral.